This 511-nucleotide ribosomal RNA is filed under the name uncultured bacterium. RNAcentral describes it as "partial 16S ribosomal RNA". It matches the Rfam family "Bacterial small subunit ribosomal RNA", at positions 28 to 523 of the family's 1533-position model. The record is from RNAcentral.
GACGAACGCUGGCGGCGUGCCUAAUACAUGCAAGUCGAACGAGUGACCCCUCGGUGGCAACACCUUGGGCGAUCUAGUGGCUAACGGGUGAGUAACACGUGAGGAACCUGCUCCGAAGAACGGGAUAACUAGAGGAAACUCUGGCUAAUACCGGAUUCCACACCCCGACCGCAUUAUACGGGGAGGAAAUGGAUUCAGCCUCGGGAUGGCCUCGUGGCCUAUCAGCUUGUUGGUGGGGUAACGGCUUACCAAGGCGUCGACGGGUAGGUGGUCUGAGAGGACGAUCAGCCACACUGGGACUGAGACACGGCCCAGACUCCUACGGGAGGCAGCAGUAGGGAAUCUUGCGCAAUGGGCGAAAGCCUGACGGAGCAAUGCCGCGUGAGUGAAGAAGGCCUUCGGGUCGUAAAACUCUGUUAUAAGAGAAGAACAAAUUGUAGAGUAACUGCUGCAGUCUUGACGGUAUCUUAUCAGAAAGCCACGGCUAACUACGUGCCAGCCGCCGCGGUAA